This 253-nucleotide ribosomal RNA is filed under the name uncultured bacterium. RNAcentral describes it as "partial 16S ribosomal RNA". It matches the Rfam family "Bacterial small subunit ribosomal RNA", at positions 524 to 776 of the family's 1533-position model. The record is from RNAcentral.
UACGUAGGUCGCAAGCGUUGUCCGGAUUUACUGGGCGUAAAGAGCGCGCAGGCGGCUGGUCAAGUCCGAUGUGAAAUCUCCCGGCUCAACUGGGAAACUGCAUCGGAAACUGAUCGGCUUGAAGAUGGGAGAGGGUAGUGGAAUUCCCGGUGUAGUGGUGAAAUGCGUAGAUAUCGGGAGGAACACCAGUGGCGAAGGCGGCUUUCUGGGCCUUACCUGACGCUGAGACGCGAAAGCGUGGGGAGCGAACCGG